AACGAACGCUGGCGGCAUGCCUAACACAUGCCAGUCGAACGAGACCUUCGGGUCUAGUGGCGCACGGGUGCGUAACGCGUGGGAACCUGCUCUUAGGUUCGGAAUAACUCCCCGAAAGGGGUGCUAAUACCGGAUAAUGUCUUCGGACCAAAGAUUUAUCGCCUUUGGAUGGGCCCGCGUUGGAUUAGCUAGUUGGUAGGGUAAAAGCCUACCAAGGCGACGAUCCAUAGCUGGUCUGAGAGGAUGAUCAGCCACACUGGGACUGAGACACGGCCCAGACUCCUACGGGAGGCAGCAGUGGGGAAUAUUGGACAAUGGGCGAAAGCCUGAUCCAGCAAUGCCGCGUGAGUGAUGAAGGCCUUAGGGUUGUAAAGCUCUUUUACCCGGGAUGAUAAUGACAGUACCGGGAGAAUAAGCUCCGGCUAACUCCGUG
RNAcentral lists this ribosomal RNA (433 nucleotides) under uncultured bacterium. Its description in RNAcentral is "partial 16S ribosomal RNA". It matches the Rfam family "Bacterial small subunit ribosomal RNA", at positions 29 to 507 of the family's 1533-position model. The record is from RNAcentral.